Molecule: transfer RNA, 71 nt
Filed under: Camelus bactrianus (Bactrian camel)
Lineage: Eukaryota; Metazoa; Chordata; Mammalia; Artiodactyla; Camelidae
Also listed under: 2 other names
Rfam family: tRNA
About the family: Transfer RNA (tRNA) molecules are approximately 80 nucleotides in length. Their secondary structure includes four short double-helical elements and three loops (D, anti-codon, and T loops). Further hydrogen bonds mediate the characteristic L-shaped molecular structure. tRNAs have two regions of fundamental functional importance: the anti-codon, which is responsible for specific mRNA codon recognition, and the 3' end, to which the tRNAs corresponding amino acid is attached (by aminoacyl-tRNA synthetases). tRNAs cope with the degeneracy of the genetic code in two manners: having more than one tRNA (with a specific anti-codon) for a particular amino acid; and 'wobble' base-pairing, i.e. permitting non-standard base-pairing at the 3rd anti-codon position.
Source: Rfam by way of RNAcentral
GUGGGUAUAGCUUACUGGUAGAGCUCAUGCUUGGCAUGGAUGAGGUCCUGGGUUCAAUCCCAGUACCUCUA